RNAcentral lists this transfer RNA (85 nucleotides) under Cyanophora paradoxa. RNAcentral's name for it is "tRNA-Ser". It matches the Rfam family "tRNA". From Rfam's summary of the family: Transfer RNA (tRNA) molecules are approximately 80 nucleotides in length. Their secondary structure includes four short double-helical elements and three loops (D, anti-codon, and T loops). Lineage: Eukaryota; Glaucocystophyceae; Cyanophorales; Cyanophoraceae. The record is from RNAcentral.
GGAGAGAUGGCUGAGAGGUUUAAAGCGUUCGCUUGCUAAGCGAAAGAAUGUUAAAAUUCUAUGGGUUCGAAUCCCAUUCUCUCCU